GCUGACUCUCUUUUCGGACUCAGCCCGCCUGCACCCAGGUGAAAUAGACAGCCAUGUUGCUCACACAAAGCCUGUUUGCUGGUCUCUUCACACUGACUCGAGUGAAAUUUGGUGCCGUGACUAGGAUCGGGGGACCUCCCUUGGGAGAUCAAUCCCCCGUCCUCCUACACUUUGCUCUGUGAGAAAGAUCCACCUACAACCUCAGGUCCUCAGACCAACCAGCCCAAGAAACAUCUCACCAAUUUCAAAUCCGUGAUAGAUCACAACAAGAGAUCAUGAAGAGGGCAUGGCCGCCAUGUCAUUCUGGAGAGAGACAGAGUAAAACAAAGAAGCAGCCUCUCUACAAGUCUCCUAACUUAACCUGAUGGGAAAACACUUCCUACCACUAACAGCAUCUACUUGAUUACUGAUACUUUGAUCAUGGAGUUUGGGCAUGCCACUUGAUAGAAAUUUGAAGAGCAAUUAUAUUUUUCAAAAAGAGUUUUGAAUAAUGUUAAGAUAGAUUGCAACAUGACUAUCAAUUCUUCCCUUCCCAUCAAAGGAGAGAGUCCGUUUAUCCAGCCUUUGAAUCUUGAUUAUUCAUGUGACUUGCUUCACCCAAUGUAACAUUAAUAAGCACAAUACAAGCAGAGGCUUGCCAAGAACUUGGUUUGUUUCUAAUGCUUAGAAGAAGAAUGGUGUAUGCCAUAUUUCUGCAUUUAGAACUCACGUGGAGACAUGUGUGGCCCAAUUGCUUCUCUUUCAUCUCAGGCAAUAACCAGACACGGGACUGAGGCCAUCCAUGACCAGCCAGCCCUAGCCAACACACAACACACAAGCUGAUCACAGAUGCAUGAGUAAGCCUGAGACCAGCCAAGACCAGCCUAGAAUAGAACUGCUCAGCAGCAAUAAAAACUAAAUAAAUUGUUACCUUAAGCUACUUUUAGAGCUAUUUGGAAGUGUAUUUUUGUGCAGCUAACAUUUACUAGCAGAUAAAAUGGUGAUUGUUUAUCUCUGUUUUAUUGAUGUUUUAAGGAAAUUGUUUCUAUUAAAAGGAAAUAUCUGGUCUUUGUCACGUUAAAUCA
Molecule: long non-coding RNA, 1064 nt
Filed under: Homo sapiens (human)
Lineage: Eukaryota; Metazoa; Chordata; Mammalia; Primates; Hominidae
Description: novel transcript
Source: RNAcentral